Long non-coding RNA from Triticum dicoccoides, 175 nucleotides. RefSeq lists it as uncharacterized. Lineage: Eukaryota; Viridiplantae; Streptophyta; Magnoliopsida; Poales; Poaceae. The transcript is spliced from 3 exons. The record is from RefSeq and is a predicted model, not a curated record.
GAAGUCUCCAGGAGAAACCCUUGGAUUUAGGUGUGAAACUGAAUAAUCACAAGGUCUUGCGCCCAAAUGUUACAAUCCUCGUGCCAACAAAGCAAUAAAGGAAAACAAAAAGUGGUCGAUGACAAUAAUAAGUCCCACAAAACUGGGCCCAAUGGCAUGCCACCGACUCAGACAG